This 253-nucleotide ribosomal RNA is filed under the name uncultured bacterium. Its description in RNAcentral is "partial 16S ribosomal RNA". It matches the Rfam family "Bacterial small subunit ribosomal RNA", at positions 524 to 776 of the family's 1533-position model. The record is from RNAcentral.
UACGGGGGGGGCAAGCGUUGUUCGGAAUUACUGGGCGUAAAGGGCUCGUAGGCGGCCAACUCAGUCGGACGUGAAAUCCCUCGGCUUAACCGGGGAAUGGCGUCCGAUACUGGAUGGCUUGAAUGUGGGAGAGGGAUGCGGAAUUCCAGGUGUAGCGGUGAAAUGCGUAGAUAUCUGGAGGAACACCGGUGGCGAAGGCGGCAUCCUGGACUACUACUGACGCUGAGGAGCGAAAGCCAGGGGAGCAAACGGG